UACGGAGGGUACAAGCGUUAAUCGGAAUGACUGGGCGUAAAGCGCGCGUAGACGGCACGAUCAGCCGGUUGUGAAAGCCCCGGGCUCAACCCGGGAACCGCAUCCGGAACUGUCGCGCUGGAGUGCAGGAGAGGAAGGUAGAAUUCCCGGUGUAGCGGUGAAAUGCGUAGAGAUCGGGAGGAAUACCAGUGGCGAAGGCGGCCUUCUGGACUGACACUGACGCUGAGGCGCGAAAGCAUGGGUAGCAAACAGG
RNAcentral lists this ribosomal RNA (253 nucleotides) under uncultured bacterium. RNAcentral's name for it is "partial 16S ribosomal RNA". It matches the Rfam family "Bacterial small subunit ribosomal RNA", at positions 524 to 776 of the family's 1533-position model. The record is from RNAcentral.